UUCAUGAUUAUGUGUCACAGUAUAUUUAAUGUAUGGCCCAAGAAAACUCUUCUUCUUCCAGUGUGGCCCAGAGACACCAAAGGGUUGGAUACCCCUGGACCUUUUAGGACAUGCUGACUGCUAUACACAGUCUACUGUAACUAUCAACUCCAGAGCUCAGAAAGUCUUGUUUCUCACUUACGUGAUAGUCCAGUGAAGGUUAGGAGGGUAUAGUUAUAGUUAGACAGACUCUGCCUAGUCCUUAAUUCAGGGAUGUAGAUUUCUCCCAUCCAGUGACCUCCAGGACUCCUGAAUCUUCUGGACAAUAUGUGUCUGAUUGGCAAGAGGGAGAGGAAGUGAGGGCAAUGUGAGGGAGAAGAAAAGACAGAAAAGGCAUAAAUGUUCUGAACUGCAUCAUCCCAGAGAGGACACACAUCACUUCCUCUCUUAUAUUCCAGUGGCAAAAAUUCAUGGUCCAAUCUAUAUUCAAGUUCAGAUGUGUGUAGUCCCGGUGAGUGGCAAUAAAGGGUGGACAAAUAUUGACGAGCAUCAGCCAUCUUUACCACAAUCAUCCAAUCAACAUACUAAGCAUCCAGGACCUAAAAUAUACAACCUGCUUGACUAUUUCAUCUCAAUUUCAUCUCUUUGCUCCAUGUGAAGAUACAGAAUAAUGCAUUUUUAUCUUAAAAAGAGAAAUUCAACUGAUGAUACAUCUUUAGGGAAGAUAGCAUACCAAUCAUUUAGGCGUUCAGUUUUAAUGUUUUGCAAAAAACAAAAGACUUUGUAGAAACUAUACUUUUACUGUAAUAUAUCCUUGGUAUUUUUUAAUACCAAUGAAAGCUUGUGCAACUUUCCCUUGAAAUUCCUCCUUUUGGAGGGACUGUGAUUUAUUUUUUUAACACUUAGCUUAUUUUCUCUCAGUAGUUUAGAUGGAUAAACAGUUUAGACAAACAUGGAUUUAUUUUUAAAGAUUUAUGUAAGCAACAUCUUUUGGUAAAAUUUCUUGAGGUGUACUGGAACCAACCUGCUGAGGAGAACAUGGCUGGGAAACCAAAGAAAGAGGCUGACACUGCAGAAUUAAACAAAGUGCUCAUGAAGAGAA
This is a long non-coding RNA of Phyllostomus discolor (pale spear-nosed bat), 1081 nucleotides long. RefSeq lists it as uncharacterized. The record is from RefSeq and is a predicted model, not a curated record. NCBI's taxonomy places the organism in Eukaryota, Metazoa, Chordata, Mammalia, Chiroptera, Phyllostomidae. The transcript is spliced from 2 exons.